AGAAUCAACGCUGGCGGCGUGCCUAACACAUGCAAGUGGAGCGAAAGCGGCCUUCGGGCCGUGAGUAGAGUGGCAAACGGGUGAGUAUCGCGUGGGUGACCUGCCUUCGAGUGGGGGAUAACCUUCCGAAAGGAGGGCUAAUACCGCAUAACAUCCCGCCCUUGGAUGGGUGGUGAUCAAAGCCGGGGAUCGCAAGACCUGGCGCUUGUAGAGGGACCCGCGUCCGAUUAGCUUGUUGGUGGGGUAGUGGCCUACCAAGGCAUCGAUCGGUAGCCGGCCUGAGAGGGCGGACGGCCACACUGGGACUGAGACACGGCCCAGACUCCUACGGGAGGCAGCAGUGGGGAAUUGUUCGCAAUGGGCGCAAGCCUGACGACGCAACGCCGCGUGGAGGACGAAGAUCUUCGGGUUGUAAACUCCUGUCGAGCGGGACGAAUAGCGUUCGGGUGAAUACCCCGAGCGUCUGACGGUACCGCUAAAGGAAGCCCCGGCUAACUCCGUGCCAGCAGCCGCGGUAAUACGGGGGGGGCAAGCGUUGUUCGGAAUUACUGGGCGUAAAGGGCUUGUAGGCGGCCAGCCAAGUCGGACGUGAAAUCCCUCGGCUUAACCGGGGAACUGCGUCCGAUACUGGUUGGCUCGAAGCCGGGAGAGGGAUGCGGAAUUCCAGGUGUAGCGGUGAAAUGCGUAGAUAUCUGGAGGAACACCGGUGGCGAAGGCGG
This 719-nucleotide ribosomal RNA is filed under the name uncultured bacterium. Its description in RNAcentral is "bacterial SSU rRNA". It matches the Rfam family "Bacterial small subunit ribosomal RNA", at positions 26 to 724 of the family's 1533-position model. The record is from RNAcentral.